AGGACGAACGCUGGCGGCGUGCUUAACACAUGCAAGUCGAGCGGAAAGGCCCUUCGGGGUACUCGAGCGGCGAACGGGUGAGUAACACGUGAGCAAUCUGCCCUUAGCUUCGGGAUAGCUCCGGGAAACCGGAAUUAAUACCGGAUAUGACUAUGGCUGACAUCAGCCACGGUGGAAAGUUUUUCGGCUAGGGGUGAGCUCGCGGCCUAUCAGCUAGUUGGUGGGUACGGCCUACCAGGCGACGACGGGUA
RNAcentral lists this ribosomal RNA (251 nucleotides) under uncultured bacterium. RNAcentral's name for it is "partial small subunit ribosomal RNA". It matches the Rfam family "Bacterial small subunit ribosomal RNA", at positions 26 to 285 of the family's 1533-position model. The record is from RNAcentral.